Rana temporaria (common frog) is the source of this 244-nucleotide long non-coding RNA. RefSeq lists it as uncharacterized. The transcript is spliced from 3 exons. The record is from RefSeq and is a predicted model, not a curated record. Lineage: Eukaryota; Metazoa; Chordata; Amphibia; Anura; Ranidae.
CUGUGAUCCUAUCUUCAUACUAUGCUGGACACACCACACAUAGGAUACGCUUUUUCUUGCUCUCUCUGGAGAUCGCUUCCAUACUCAUAUUCUAAACAUUUAAUAAGGCAUCACUCUGGCAAUUGCUUUGCUGGGCUCCCCCUCCACCUGUCCGGCCCGCACUCUCUGACUGGACUUUUGGAUUUUUUCCCAGUUAUACUGUGGGUCCCUGCAGGCCACUCUUGUGGGGCAUCGUUGAGGCCUU